GGGCCAUAAGGAAUAUAAAACAGAGUAAAGCAGGGAUGCAGGAAUAUAAAGCAGAGGAAAGCACACAGAUUCGUAACAAACAUAGAACACGGAACACGGAACAGAACAUUGAAUACGGAAUCAUACCAGGAAUACACCCCCACCAAUUACCUCCCUACAUUAGCGACCCGAACAGGCCCUAAUCCUCUGCCGUAAUUCGCGUCUUCCAGACCUUCCUAUCUAGGGUCAUGUCCUCGGUAAGCUGUAACUGUUCCAUGUCCCGCCUAAUCACCUCACCCC
RNAcentral lists this long non-coding RNA (279 nucleotides) under Capsicum annuum. RNAcentral's name for it is "long non-coding RNA (CANN_LNC005752)". Lineage: Eukaryota; Viridiplantae; Streptophyta; Magnoliopsida; Solanales; Solanaceae. The record is from RNAcentral.